Molecule: ribosomal RNA, 398 nt
Filed under: uncultured bacterium
Lineage: Bacteria
Description: bacterial SSU rRNA
Rfam family: Bacterial small subunit ribosomal RNA
Source: RNAcentral
AUAUUGCACAAUGGGGGAAACCCUGAUGCAGCGACGCCGCGUGAGCGAUGAAGUAUUUCGGUAUGUAAAGCUCUAUCAGCAGGGAAGAAAAUGACGGUACCCGAAUAAGAAGCCCCGGCUAACUACGUGCCAGCAGCCGCGGUAAUACGUAGGGGGCCAGCGUUAUCCGGAUUUACUGGGUGUAAAGGGAUCGUAGACGGCAGGGAAAGCCAGAAGUGAAAACGCAGAGCUUAACUUUGCGACUGCUUCUGGAACUGCCCAGCUAGAGUACAGGAGAGGUAAGUGGAAUUCCUAGUGUAGCGGUGAAAUGCGUAGAUAUUAGGAGGAACACCAGUGGCGAAGGCGGCUUACUGGACUGAGACUGACGUUGAGGCUCGAAAGCGUGGGGAGCAAACAGG